RNAcentral lists this ribosomal RNA (482 nucleotides) under uncultured bacterium. RNAcentral describes it as "bacterial SSU rRNA". It matches the Rfam family "Bacterial small subunit ribosomal RNA", at positions 8 to 493 of the family's 1533-position model. The record is from RNAcentral.
AGAGUUUGAUCCUGGCUCAGGACGAACGCUGGCGGCGUGCUUAACACAUGCAAGUCGAACGGUAAGGCCCUUCGGGGUACACGAGUGGCGAACGGGUGAGUAACACGUGGGUGAUCUGCCCUGCACUUCGGGAUAAGCUUGGGAAACUGGGUCUAAUACCGGAUAUGACUACGAAUCGCAUGGUUUGUGGUGGAAAGCUUUUGCGGUGUGGGAUGGGCCCGCGGCCUAUCAGCUUGUUGGUGGGGUGAUGGCCUACCAAGGCGACGACGGGUAGCCGGCCUGAGAGGGUGUCCGGCCACACUGGGACUGAGAUACGGCCCAGACUCCUACGGGAGGCAACAGUGGGGAAUCUUGCGCAAUGCGCGAAAGCGUGACGCAGCAACGCCGCGUGGGGGAAGACGGCCUUCGGGUUGUAAACCUCUUUCACCAUCGGCGAAGCCGGGGGCUUUUGUUUCCGGUGACGGUAGGUGGAGAAGAAGCAC